GCGGGUGUAGUUCAAUGGUAGAAUUCCAGCCUUCCAAGCUGAUUACGAGUGUUCGAUUCCCUUCACCCGCUCCA
Molecule: transfer RNA, 74 nt
Filed under: Clostridia bacterium
Lineage: Bacteria; Bacillati; Bacillota; Clostridia
Description: tRNA-Gly
Rfam family: tRNA
About the family: Transfer RNA (tRNA) molecules are approximately 80 nucleotides in length. Their secondary structure includes four short double-helical elements and three loops (D, anti-codon, and T loops).
Source: RNAcentral